Molecule: long non-coding RNA, 1041 nt
Organism: Ornithodoros turicata
Lineage: Eukaryota; Metazoa; Arthropoda; Arachnida; Ixodida; Argasidae
Exons: 3
Source: RefSeq, a predicted model, not a curated record
UUUUUUUCUCCGUGAGAGUGUUUGACUGGAAAGACAGACUGUGGAGACGUGUUUGAGACGACACACAGGCUGCAUCCGAAAUUCGUGUGUGUAACCUCUUCUCCAUCUGCCACACACAUCUCUACCUAGCACAGGCUGCUCUUCAUCUGCGUCUGAUGAUGACAACCAUGCGCCAUCAAGCCGAGGAUCAACCUCAGGCCAUGUUGUGUCAUCGGCGGCUGACUUGUCUUGACUGGUCAUUACAAACCAAGUUCAUUCUAUACAGCAAGAGGAGAAAGCAAAUUGUCAUCAUAACAGCGAAGCCUCCAUAACACAAGUAAGCUAUGUCAUCCGUCAUGGAAAAGUUGGAUAACUGAAAAAAUGUGGUGACGGUGAAAUUCAGAAAAUGAGCAACAUACCCAAAAACGAAAAGUUCGAAGUGCUGGACAUUCAGAAAAUUGACACUAUGUAUGGCGAGGCCGUAUACGUGGAGCUCCGCAUGGAAAACGACAAGCCAGUGAAAGUGUAUCUACCUGGACGCUUCAAAAAAUUGUCGGAGGAAGAGCUAGAGGAAAUGCGACUGCUUCCAAAUCUCAAAAUGGAGAAGAAAGAACGGUUUACCAAAGAUGGUAAAAAAGUCAUUUUGCCAGAUAUUAUCUUCACCAAUUCGAAGAGAAAGUGAUGAGAUAUGGUGACGUGUCACUUAUGCUCCCAGCACGAACGGCAGUAUUAUGCAACAGCAUUAGGUCUUCAGAUUCACUUGGCAAAUGUUCACAAUCUUCAAGCCCCCUGCAUUCCUUUUUGUGAGACUUUGUGCACACUGCGAAACUAUACUAAUCGGUUCGAGCUACAUUUACACGACAGGGACGUUAGCGGACAUGAUGUUACAACCUUUUUUCACGAGUACAGACAGUACAUUGCUGAUGUCUUACGACACUUUGGUUUCCCACUGCGCUAUUUUGUAUUGCUUAAAGUGGAACUUGGUCGUCACACGCCAGACGAUGAGUUACAGCUCGAAAUUAGUUUCGUGCCUUCCAAAGUAGUGACAGUAUGGUCAGAGGC